RNAcentral lists this unclassified non-coding RNA (331 nucleotides) under uncultured fungus. Its description in RNAcentral is "partial contains 5.8S ribosomal RNA and internal transcribed spacer 2". The stretch from base 1 to 133 matches the Rfam family "5.8S ribosomal RNA", at positions 22 to 154 of the family's 154-position model. Lineage: Eukaryota; Fungi. The record is from RNAcentral.
UGGUUCUGGCAUCGAUGAAGAACGCAGCGAAAUGCGAUAAGUAAUGUGAAUUGCAGAAUUCAGUGAAUCAUCGAAUCUUUGAACGCACAUUGCGCCCCUUGGCAUUCCGAGGGGCAUGCCCGUUCGAGCGUCAUUAAAUCCACUCAAGCCUGGCUUGGUCUUGGGCGCCGGGGACUCCCCGCGCCUCCAUUUUGCCGGCUGGCCGUCGUUUGACUUAGCGUUGUGACACAUGUCGCUGACGUCGAAGGCGGACCGCGCCGUGAGAACCCCCUUGAGCGUCCACCGACGUUCAGUAAAGGUUGACCUCGGAUCGGGUAGGGAUACCCGCUGA